CCUACGGGUGGCAGCAGUGGGGAAUAUUGCACAAUGGGGGGAACCCUGAUGCAGCGACGCCGCGUGAGUGAAGAAGUAUUUCGGUAUGUAAAGCUCUAUCAGCAGGGAAGAAAAUGACGGUACCUGACUAAGAAGCCCCGGCUAACUACGUGCCAGCAGCCGCGGUAAUACGUAGGGGGCAAGCGUUAUCCGGAUUUACUGGGUGUAAAGGGAGCGCAGACGGCUGCGCAAGUCUGGAGGUACAGGCGGUGGCCCAACCCCCGGACUGCUCUGGAAACUGUAAAGCUGGAGGGCAGGAGAGGUAAGCGGAAUUCCUAGUGUAGCGGUGAAAUGCGUAGAUAUUAGGAGGAACACCAGUGGCGAAGGCGGCUUACUGGACUGCAACUGACGUUGAGGCUCGAAAGCGUGGGGAGCAAACAGGAUUAGAUACCCGGGUAGUC
This 440-nucleotide ribosomal RNA is filed under the name uncultured bacterium. RNAcentral describes it as "partial 16S ribosomal RNA". It matches the Rfam family "Bacterial small subunit ribosomal RNA", at positions 338 to 795 of the family's 1533-position model. The record is from RNAcentral.